UGGGGAAUAUUGGACAAUGGGGGAAACCCUGAUCCAGCAACGCCGCGUGAGGGAAGAAGGCCUUCGGGUUGUAAACCUCUGACGGAGGGGACGAAACCUUCCAUGGCUAACAUCCAUGGGAAUUGACGGUACCCUCAAAGGAAGCACCGGCUAACCUCGUGCCAGCAGCCGCGGUAAUACGAGGGGUGCAAGCGUUGUUCGGAUUUACUGGGCGUAAAGCGUGCCUAGGUGGAUUUACAAGUCAGAUGUGAAAGCUCCCGGUUCAACCGGGAAGGGUCAUUUGAAACUGUAGAUCUUGAGUUCCGGGGAGGUGGGUGGAAUUCCUAGUGUAGAGGUGAAAUUCGUAGAGAUUAGGAGGAACACCGGAGGCGAAGGCGGCUCACUAAACGGACACUGACACUGCAGCACGAAAGCGUGGGUAGCAAACAGG
Molecule: ribosomal RNA, 430 nt
Filed under: uncultured bacterium
Lineage: Bacteria
Description: bacterial SSU rRNA
Rfam family: Bacterial small subunit ribosomal RNA
Source: RNAcentral